Molecule: ribosomal RNA, 207 nt
Filed under: uncultured Eubacteriales bacterium
Lineage: Bacteria; Bacillati; Bacillota; Clostridia; Eubacteriales
Description: uncultured Clostridiales bacterium partial 16S ribosomal RNA
Rfam family: Bacterial small subunit ribosomal RNA
Source: RNAcentral
AGCGUAGGUGGUUCGGUAAGUCAGAUGUGAAAGCCCGGGGCUCAACCCCGGGACUGCAUUUGAAACUAUCGUACUAGAGUGCAGGAGAGGUAAGUGGAAUUCCUAGUGUAGCGGUGAAAUGCGUAGAUAUUAGGAGGAACACCAGUGGCGAAGGCGGCUUACUGGACUGUAACUGACACUGAGGCUCGAAAGCGUGGGGAGCAAACA